Molecule: ribosomal RNA, 468 nt
Filed under: uncultured bacterium
Lineage: Bacteria
Description: partial 16S ribosomal RNA
Rfam family: Bacterial small subunit ribosomal RNA
Source: RNAcentral
GACGAACGCUGGCGGCGUGCUUAACACAUGCCAGUCGAACGGAAAGGCCCUGCUUUUGUGGGGUGCUCGAGUGGCGAACGGGUGAGUAACACGUGAGUAACCUGCCCUUGACUUUGGGAUAACUUCAGGAAGCUGGGGCUAAUACCGGAUAGGAGCUCCUGCUGCAUGGUGGGGGUUGGAAAGUUUCGGCGGUUGGGGAUGGACUCGCGGCUUAUCGGCUUGUUGGUGGGGUAGUGGCUUACCAAGGCUUUGACGGGUAGCCGGCCUGAGAGGGUGACCGGCCACAUUGGGACUGAGAUACGGCCCAGACUCCUACGGGAGGCAGCAGUGGGGAAUAUUGCACAAUGGGCGGAAGCCUGAUGCAGCAACGCCGCGUGCGGGAUGACGGCCUUCGGGUUGUAAACCGCUUUCGCCUGUGACGAAGCGUGAGUGACGGUAAUGGGUAAAGAAGCACCGGCUAACUACGUG